AUAGUACAUGCAGCAGCUGCAGAAGCACUGUAGCUCUGAGGGAGGAGACGUGCAGCUGCUGCUGACGGCUCCGGUUGGGGUCUAUGUGCGUUCCUGACUGAAUACCACACACACAUACCCAAUCGUACCAAUACCCUACCUACCUCUCCAUCUCCAAGCCUACCUCAUACUGCAUGUUUGUAUUGCUGCUGAACUGCAAUUAAAGAGAGACUCAAACCAGAAAA
Fundulus heteroclitus (mummichog) is the source of this 224-nucleotide long non-coding RNA. RefSeq lists it as uncharacterized. The transcript has 2 exons. Lineage: Eukaryota; Metazoa; Chordata; Actinopteri; Cyprinodontiformes; Fundulidae. The record is from RefSeq and is a predicted model, not a curated record.